Daucus carota subsp. sativus is the source of this 547-nucleotide long non-coding RNA. RefSeq lists it as uncharacterized. Lineage: Eukaryota; Viridiplantae; Streptophyta; Magnoliopsida; Apiales; Apiaceae. The record is from RefSeq and is a predicted model, not a curated record. The transcript is spliced from 2 exons.
GAAUGGCUCUGGGAAUGCUUUGGAACAUAAAACCUUAACAAACAAGAAAGCUGCAUAUUUAGUUACUAAAGCAAUUUGUUUAUCAUGGCCAAGCUAAACAACAGCAGAGUUACCUUGUUGGUUCUCACCCUGUCCCUUUUUCUCAUCAUCACAAUUGCCGAAAGCAGAGCCAUUUUCCCUGCAGUUUCCGUCAAAGCCAAAGCAGCUCCAUCAUGUGAUACGGUUUUUGGAGUGAGGAAGGGAGACACUUGUUUUGACAUCGCUCAGAACUUUAAACUCUCAACUGCGGCCUUUGAUGCAAUCAAUCCUAAUAUCAACUGCGCUGCAAUUUUUGUGGGUCAAUGGGUUUGCGUUGAUGGAACCGCAUAAACAACUACGUAUAAGAGGUCCGGUUCGACCUAAUUGCAAACGCCUCUUGUCAACCUUAUGAAUUUCUUGUUUUUGCUACUCGAAUAAUUGGAUGUCCAAGUGAUAAAUCCUGAAGUUCUCUUCUUCUUCAUUGUAAUUCACAGAGCAACACAUAAUGGAAUCUGCAACUUUUGUUUUA